Molecule: long non-coding RNA, 2755 nt
Organism: Lotus japonicus
Lineage: Eukaryota; Viridiplantae; Streptophyta; Magnoliopsida; Fabales; Fabaceae
Exons: 3
Source: RefSeq, a predicted model, not a curated record
AAGUAUUUCAAUAAUUUAUUCUACUACAAUUGAAUUCUCUACACGGAUAUUUUGGUAAAACACCACAUUAUUUUGCAAGGAUUCAAUCCUGGCCGUUGAAAAAUUUGUGGCAAUUCAGCUUCAGGUUUGUUGCUCAUGCUCUUCUGUAUUCCACCGUUUCUCUCAACUAGAUUUUAUUUGCUCUUCUUUUGUAACUCCCUGGUCAUUUCUUCUUCAGUUCUUCGUAUUAAACAUCUCAACCGUUGCGUCUUUCAUUCUUCCUAUCGCAUCACCUUAAAGGUCUUCGCUCUGCAGAAGCAAGGAUUAGAAUUCUUUCGCUGUGAGAACCUUCUUCAGAACCAAGGAAGGAGAACGCUGGUGCUGGUCGUGGAUGUGGGAACGAUUUUCUUUAUGAGAAUGCGGUUGAAUCUGGAAAUCAAACGCUUUUCCCUCUUUCUCCUUGAUGCUACUGCUUUCAAGUCUCGAGAAUUUGGGAUUUUUUGCAUCUCAUUCACAUAUUCAAAGCCCUCCGGCACCGAUCUGCAUCCCAAUCCAAUUAGGUAUUAUGCUUCUUUCCCUGGAUCCCUACAUCUCAUGUCCAAGUUACCAUCUUUGCCAUUAACUGCAUUCUUUUGUUCUGGGUUUAUGUAUUUCCUUUUUAACUUUCUUGCCUGCUAAAUUACUCCUUUUUUCCCUUUGCAUUUAGUCAUGCUUGCAGGCCCUAAUCUAAAAGAAGGAGACGUGAUUUGCUUGAUGACCUUCAAUGUUAAGUAUCACCUUUAUGAUAUUUGAUAAUUUUCUUAUCCAUUUUCUCAUAUUUAGCUAAAACAAUAACCAAUUUAUCAGACAAAAAAUUGUUCUAUCAAGUAACAUCAGGGACCUAUCCUGCAAAUUCCUUUGGUAAGAAUUGGCUUUCAUCUAGGAAAGUGUCAUAGGUACUAGCUAUGUGUCAUCAAUUUUAACCGGAAUUACUUUUAGAUGCUACAUUUUUUGCCUUCUUCUGUGACCAUUUUUUUGUUGUUAAUGAAUUCAUCAGCCUUAUCCUUAACUUUUGAUUUCAGCAAAUGGGGCCUGGGUUUGUCAUAACCAAUUUUUUAUUAUGUUAUGAUGACGAUGAAGAAGAUGGAGUAAUCAGUUAUCAACCAUCAUCAUCACAACUUGAGUGAAAUUCGCUAUACGAAAAACAUGAGAAAUCAUCGCCAGAAGCUCUUAUAGAAGAUUAGAAACACAUCCAUAUGUUGGAAAAGGAGCUGCUGGAUGGUUCUCAAGUGGGAGGUUUUAGAGCUCUUUCAUUGAAUUUAGAGUCAGUGGAAUCAGUGGACCACACAAUUGCUGUGUUGAAGCAUCAUUUGAUCCGAAAAUUUGGAGUGAAGAUUGUGUCAUCUUUGUUAUGGGAGAUUUUUUUUUUUGUUUCUCUGGGUAAGUUUUCUUCACCCACUCUACUACUACAAACUUAAAGGUUGGCUGUAAAAGAGGUACCUUUUAAUAGAAUACAAUUUAUUUCCACAUCUAACUUUCUGGGGUUUAAUAAUUCAAAAUUCAAUUAAAUUUUAAUCUAUGAAAAUGACAUACCAAUCCUUUCUUUCAACCUUAAAGAAUUACAUUGUUUUAUAAUGUGAAUAGUUCCAUACUAUAUGGUUGGCUUUUCCCAAAAUUUGCUGUUGUGAUUUCACCAUGGCAGGUUAGUGAAUUUGUAUUCUUAUCCCUAGGCUAUUUCGAUUAAAUUGAAGGACUCAAGAGGGAUGCUUACUAAUAGAUAUUCUUGCAUGGAAUGUGCAUCUGUAAUUAGUGGAGUCCUAGACUGAUAUUCUUACAAAUUCUUUUACAUCUGUAGGCUGUUGUCUUUAUUCUCAUUUCUCCUCUUCCACUCCAGUAAAUACGGUAUUUAUUCUUCAAUUCAAUUUGUUUUUCACAUUAGGUUGUUAUCUUCUUUUAUUUUAUUCCUCAUAUGGGUGUAUGAUUUCAAAAAUGACAUCUUAUGAAGUAUCCCCUGGCUCAAGAAGUUCCCCAAUACUAUAAUUCAUUUUCUUCUCUCCUCAUACUGUUAUAGUGUUAUCUCAGUUGAUUCUCCUAAUUAUUUACUAAACCUCUCUUCUACUUUCUAUUAAAAAGAUAUUCUUUUUAAUUUUUAAGGGCCAAGAAUUGUCACUCAUACAUUUACAAGUUUCAAUGCCCUCAUUUAGGAAGAGCUCUCUUAUAAGGUCAAAGGUGACAUCUUCUUUUUCAUUUAUAUGUGCUUAUUGUGGUUAUUGAAGAAUUUAGUGGUUACAUAUUAGUAACUAAUAUCAGUUACCGAAUUCCAGAGGGCAUGAUUAGUUGGUUAGGAUUUAUACAAGACAUUAGUCCUAAAAACUAAAAGUUGACGCUUUAAACAUUUAAUUUGAUAUCAAUGCCAAUAAAAACUUUCCACUAACCCUUUCCACUACAACAAUUACAGGUACUAACUCCAAGUCUAACUAUUUUUCUUCUCUAUUUGUGGUCAUUCAAUAUACAAGCUGAUUUAGUUUUGAAUGCAUAUAUUGACAGGAGUGGGAAAGACCUAAGUCAGGUGGUACAACUCCUAUUGAAGAGGACAACGAGGGGGGAAGAGAAGCAAGAGGAAGAAGAAAAUGAUGAUUUUGAGAAGCAGGAAAACGAUAGUGCCGUAAAUGAAUUUUCUUUGUUUCUUCAACUUUCUUGAUAAGUUGUUUCCAAGUGUUGCUUGCUAUACUUAAUUUAAGGGUAUGCUAUGAACAUCAUGUUAUUGCAUCAGAAAGUUUGAGCUUUCUUAAUUUGU